GGACAUACCUCUGGUGUACCAGUUGUUCUGCCAAGAGCACCGCUGGGUAGCUACGUAUGGAUUAGAUAAUCGCUGACAGCAUCUAAGUGAGAAACUAACCUCGCGAUGAGAUUUCCCAUUCGUCAGAAGUAAGACCCCUGAGAGACGAUCAGGUAGAUAGGCUAGAAGUGGAAGUGUAGUGAUGCAUGGAGCGGACUAGUACUAAUAGGUCGAGGACUUAACCAAG
RNAcentral lists this ribosomal RNA (226 nucleotides) under Oenococcus oeni. RNAcentral's name for it is "partial 23S ribosomal RNA". It matches the Rfam family "Bacterial large subunit ribosomal RNA", at positions 2699 to 2925 of the family's 2925-position model. Lineage: Bacteria; Bacillati; Bacillota; Bacilli; Lactobacillales; Lactobacillaceae. The record is from RNAcentral.